Molecule: non-coding RNA, 88 nt
Filed under: Escherichia coli
Lineage: Bacteria; Pseudomonadati; Pseudomonadota; Gammaproteobacteria; Enterobacterales; Enterobacteriaceae
Also listed under: 2 other names
Source: RNAcentral
AAUUAUGGUGGGCUGGAUGAGGCUUCCGAAAGGAAGGCCGGUGUCUAUACAGGCCGGUUACGCCAACCUUGUUCAGCUCACCACCAGU